RNAcentral lists this ribosomal RNA (207 nucleotides) under uncultured bacterium. RNAcentral's name for it is "partial 16S ribosomal RNA". It matches the Rfam family "Bacterial small subunit ribosomal RNA", at positions 568 to 774 of the family's 1533-position model. The record is from RNAcentral.
AGCGCAGGCGGGAAGACAAGUUGGAAGUGAAAACCAUGGGCUCAACCCAUGAAUUGCUUUCAAAACUGUUUUUCUUGAGUAGUGCAGAGGUAGAUGGAAUUCCCGGUGUAGCGGUGGAAUGCGUAGAUAUCGGGAAGAACACCAGUGGCGAAGGCGGCCUACUGGGCACCAACUGACGCUGAGGCUCGAAAGUGUGGGUAGCAAACA